GACGAACGCUGGCGGCAUGCCUAAUACAUGCAAGUCGAGCGAACAGAUGAAGUGCUUGCACUUCUGACGUUAGCGGCUAACGGGUGAGUAACACGUAAGGAAUCUACCUAUAAGCGGGGGAUAACAUUCGGAAACGGGUGCUAAUACCGCAUAAUAUCUUCUUCCGCAUGGAAGGAGAUUGAAAGACGGCUCUGCUGUCACUUAUAGAUGACCUUGCGGUGGAUUAGUUAGUUGGUGGGGUAACGGCCUACCAAGACGAUGAUGCAUAGCCGACCUGAGAGGGUGAUCGGCCACAUGGGGACUGAGACACGGCACAAACUCCUACGGGAGGCAGCAGUAGGGAAUCUUCCGCAAUGGGCGAAAGCCUGACGGAGCAAUGCCGCGUGAGUGAAGAAGGCCUUCGGGUCGUAAAACUCUGUUAUAAGAGAAGAACAAAUUGUAGAGUAACUGCUACAGUCUUGACGGUAUCUUAUCAGAAAGCCACGGCUAACUACGUGCCAGCCGCCGCCGUAA
Molecule: ribosomal RNA, 513 nt
Filed under: uncultured bacterium
Lineage: Bacteria
Description: partial 16S ribosomal RNA
Rfam family: Bacterial small subunit ribosomal RNA
Source: RNAcentral